ACCGCCAUGUGCGGGAGCUCGGGCUGACCGGGCUGAGAGGGCGACUGGACGCGUCGCCGACCGCUGGAACCUGACCGGGUAAUGCCGGCGUAGGGAGCGACCAUGAGCACGUC
This 113-nucleotide non-coding RNA is filed under the name Geodermatophilus obscurus. RNAcentral's name for it is "TPP sequence". It matches the Rfam family "TPP riboswitch aptamer (THI element)". Rfam says of the family: Vitamin B(1) in its active form thiamin pyrophosphate (TPP) is an essential coenzyme that is synthesised by coupling of pyrimidine and thiazole moieties in bacteria. The previously detected thiamin-regulatory element, thi box was extended, resulting in a new, highly conserved RNA secondary structure, the THI element, which is widely distributed in eubacteria and also occurs in some archaea. The record is from RNAcentral. RNAcentral also lists the same sequence under 1 other name. Lineage: Bacteria; Bacillati; Actinomycetota; Actinomycetes; Geodermatophilales; Geodermatophilaceae.